Molecule: ribosomal RNA, 429 nt
Filed under: uncultured Serratia sp.
Lineage: Bacteria; Pseudomonadati; Pseudomonadota; Gammaproteobacteria; Enterobacterales; Yersiniaceae
Description: bacterial SSU rRNA
Rfam family: Bacterial small subunit ribosomal RNA
Source: RNAcentral
UGGGGAAUAUUGCACAAUGGGCGCAAGCCUGAUGCAGCUAUGCCGCGUGUGUGAAGAAGGCCUUCGGGUUGUAAAGCACUUUCAGCGAGGAGGAAAGGUAAUGUACUAAUAAAACAUUACAUUGACGUUACUUGCAGAAGAAGCACCGGCUAACUCCGUGCCAGCAGCCGCGGUAAUACGGAGGGUGCAAGCGUUAAUCGGAAUUACUGGGCGUAAAGCGUACGCAGGCGGUUUGUUAAGUCAGAUGUGAAAUCCCCGCGCUCAACGUGGGAACGGCAUUUGAGACUGGCAAGCUAGAGUCUUGUAGAGGGGGGUAGAAUUCCAGGUGUAGCGGUGAAAUGCGUAGAGAUCUGGAGGAAUACCAGUGGCGAAGGCGGCCCCCCGGACAAAGACUGACGCUCAGGUGCGAAAGCGUGGGGAGCAAACAGG